This 445-nucleotide ribosomal RNA is filed under the name uncultured bacterium. RNAcentral describes it as "partial 16S ribosomal RNA". It matches the Rfam family "Bacterial small subunit ribosomal RNA", at positions 354 to 796 of the family's 1533-position model. The record is from RNAcentral.
GUGAGGAAUAUUGGUCAAUGGACGGAAGUCUGAACCAGCCAUGCCGCGUGCAGGAAUAAGGUCCUAUGGAUUGUAAACUGCUUUUAUUCGGGAAUAAACCUCUUUACGUGUAGGGAGCUGAAGGUACCGAAGGAAUAAGCACCGGCUAACUCCGUGCCAGCAGCCGCGGUAAUACGGAGGGUGCAAGCGUUAUCCGGAAUCAUUGGGUUUAAAGGGUCCGCAGGCGGGCUAUCAAGUCAGAGGUGAAAUCCCACAGCUUAACUGUGGAACUGCCUUUGAAACUGAUGGUCUUGAAUUAAGUGGGCGUUGGCGGAAUAUGACAUGUAGCGGUGAAAUGCAUAGAUAUGUCAUGGAACACCGAAAGCGAAGGCAGCUAACGAUACUUAUAUUGACGCUCAUGGACGAAAGCGUGGGUAGCGAACAGGAUUAGAAACCCUAGUAGUCC